GACGAACGCUGGCGGCGUGCUUAACACAUGCAAGUCGAACGGAAAGGCCCUGCUUUUGUGGGGUGCUCGAGUGGCGAACGGGUGAGUAACACGUGAGUAACCUGCCCUUGACUUUGGGAUAACUUCAGGAAACUGGGGCUAAUACCGGAUAGGAGCUCCUGCUGCAUGGUGGGGGUUGGAAAGUUUCGGCGGUUGGGUAUGGACUCGCGGCUUAUCAGCUUGUUGGUGGGGUAGUGGCUUACCAAGGCUUUGACGGGUAGCCGGCCUGAGAGGGUGACCGGCCACAUUGGGACUGAGAUACGGCCCAGACGCCUACGGGAGGCAGCAGUGGGGAAUAUUGCACAAUGGGCGGAAGCCUGAUGCAGCAACGCCGCGUGCGGGAUGACGGCCUUCGGGUUGUAAACCGCUUUCGCCUGUGACGAAGCGUGAGUGACGGUAAUGGGUAAAGAAGCACCGGCUAACUACGUG
RNAcentral lists this ribosomal RNA (468 nucleotides) under uncultured bacterium. RNAcentral's name for it is "partial 16S ribosomal RNA". It matches the Rfam family "Bacterial small subunit ribosomal RNA", at positions 28 to 507 of the family's 1533-position model. The record is from RNAcentral.